RNAcentral lists this transfer RNA (72 nucleotides) under Loxodonta africana (African savanna elephant). It matches the Rfam family "tRNA". Rfam says of the family: Transfer RNA (tRNA) molecules are approximately 80 nucleotides in length. Their secondary structure includes four short double-helical elements and three loops (D, anti-codon, and T loops). Lineage: Eukaryota; Metazoa; Chordata; Mammalia; Proboscidea; Elephantidae. The record is from Rfam by way of RNAcentral.
CCCUGGGUGGUGAAAAAUGUUAACACACUUGGCUGCUAAUCAAGAGGUUGGAAGUUUGAGUCCACCCAGAGA